RNAcentral lists this ribosomal RNA (831 nucleotides) under Streptomyces sp. 41727. RNAcentral's name for it is "bacterial SSU rRNA". It matches the Rfam family "Bacterial small subunit ribosomal RNA", at positions 70 to 914 of the family's 1533-position model. Lineage: Bacteria; Bacillati; Actinomycetota; Actinomycetes; Kitasatosporales; Streptomycetaceae. The record is from RNAcentral.
UGACCUCCUUCGGGAGGGGAUUAGUGGCGAACGGGUGAGUAACACGUGGGCAAUCUGCCCUGCACUCUGGGACAAGCCCUGGAAACGGGGUCUAAUACCGGAUACUGACCCGCUUGGGCAUCCAAGCGGUUCGAAAGCUCCGGCGGUGCAGGAUGAGCCCGCGGCCUAUCAGCUUGUUGGUGAGGUAAUGGCUCACCAAGGCGACGACGGGUAGCCGGCCUGAGAGGGCGACCGGCCACACUGGGACUGAGACACGGCCCAGACUCCUACGGGAGGCAGCAGUGGGGAAUAUUGCACAAUGGGCGAAAGCCUGAUGCAGCGACGCCGCGUGAGGGAUGACGGCCUUCGGGUUGUAAACCUCUUUCAGCAGGGAAGAAGCGAAAGUGACGGUACCUGCAGAAGAAGCGCCGGCUAACUACGUGCCAGCAGCCGCGGUAAUACGUAGGGCGCGAGCGUUGUCCGGAAUUAUUGGGCGUAAAGAGCUCGUAGGCGGCUUGUCACGUCGGUUGUGAAAGCCCGGGGCUUAACCCCGGGUCUGCAGUCGAUACGGGCAGGCUAGAGUUCGGUAGGGGAGAUCGGAAUUCCUGGUGUAGCGGUGAAAUGCGCAGAUAUCAGGAGGAACACCGGUGGCGAAGGCGGAUCUCUGGGCCGAUACUGACGCUGAGGAGCGAAAGCGUGGGGAGCGAACAGGAUUAGAUACCCUGGUAGUCCACGCCGUAAACGGUGGGCACUAGGUGUGGGCGACAUUCCACGUCGUCCGUGCCGCAGCUAACGCAUUAAGUGCCCCGCCUGGGGAGUACGGCCGCAAGGCUAAAACUCAAAGGAAUUGAC